This is a long non-coding RNA of Mandrillus leucophaeus (drill), 881 nucleotides long. RefSeq lists it as uncharacterized. NCBI's taxonomy places the organism in Eukaryota, Metazoa, Chordata, Mammalia, Primates, Cercopithecidae. The transcript is spliced from 4 exons. The record is from RefSeq and is a predicted model, not a curated record.
AGACGGACAGCUCUGACUCGCUCUUUCUUUCUCUGGGCACCUGCGCGCCCACCAUGUCAAGCCAUGCUGAGGCGUGCCGAGUCCAAGAGCCAUGUCUCUGGUGCACAGUGUUAACAGGGCAGUUAUACCUUUUACAGACAACUGCGGCUCCAAGUCAAGUAUGAACUUACACAAACAGGUUAUAUAACAAGUGGAGGUGUGCGCCUGCGUGCCAAACUUGCUGACUCACACAGGCCUGGAUACCCGCCUCGGCCUAUUCCUUGACCAAAGCACAUCAAGGGCAGGAAACGGAAGCUCUUGGGAAGGCGGAAGUUGCACGUGCUCUCACAGUCAACUGUGCUGGAAUAGGAGGCCAGGAACCACCUCUGUUGGAGGAGGAGGACCCAUCAGGCAUCCCUUCAAGAAUGCCAAGAUCCACAGCAAGCGCUUCCCUUCUAUGGGCACAGAAGGGCUGUGGGAGCCAAGAAAAUGUGCUUCUGGCCAGAGUGGGAUUCCCAAGGAAGAUGUUAAGACAUCUAUAAUAUUUGAGAGCAAAAUUAACACAGCUCCAGCCCGUGGGCAAGUUAGAGACGGGAGUAGUGUCUGUGGAAUGGAGGAAAGCAGAGGCUGCCGCUGACCAUCCUGCAGCCCUUGCUCUGACUGCUCCCAGUUCUCCACCUCCUCUGGACUUUGUCACGUCAGUACAUGAAACAACCAUUUCAACCAGCUUGGACAAAAAAGAGAAGCCAAGAUGGGGCUGAGAAACCAAUGCAGCUGGGCCCAGGGAUCCAGGACUCAGGGACCAGGUGCUGCCGGAUGUUUGCUCUGACUCGUGUUGCUGCUGUCUUCUCUGUGCCUCAACUCUGUCCUCUGUCACUGAAGGCAGCUUCCUCCCAAGGUGG